RNAcentral lists this unclassified non-coding RNA (222 nucleotides) under Hevea brasiliensis (rubber tree). The record is from RNAcentral. Lineage: Eukaryota; Viridiplantae; Streptophyta; Magnoliopsida; Malpighiales; Euphorbiaceae.
GUUGCGAAGAUCAAAGUUGUGGUAUAUUCUCUCAAUUUAUUUUGUAUGCCACCGUAUCUAAUUUUUACUUACUGGUUACCUUUCCAUUCUUUGCCCUACAUAAAUACAAUGUGCACCAUCUGGAAGGUUAAAUGGGAAUCAUUGAUAGCUGUGGACCUUGAUAAUUGCUCCUGAUUCACAUUUUUAGAGUUACUUUCUCAGCAGAAGCAUUAAAAUGUUUCU